UUACGGCCAUAUCUCGUUGAAACACCGGUUUUUGUACGAUUACCGAAGUUAAGAAACGUCGAGCCUGUUAUGUACCUUGGUGGUUGACCAUUUGAGAAUGUCAGGUAGCGUA
Molecule: non-coding RNA, 112 nt
Organism: Acanthosepion pharaonis
Lineage: Eukaryota; Metazoa; Mollusca; Cephalopoda; Sepiida; Sepiidae
Source: the annotation of a GenBank genome assembly